GAGAGAAUGAGAGAGAGAGAGAGAGAGAGAAGACGCAUUUUCAUGUAAGUCAGUCAGGACAUGUUUGUGCUGCUUUGUAAAAGCCGCCUGUUUUGCAUCGUGCAAAAGACAUACGCAGAUCAUCUCGCUCAUAAAAUCGAUUCGUUUAAUUCCCAAUAAAGAUACUACUUGUGAUAUUUAACAUUCUAGACGAUAUUUAUUCACCAACCGCACGAGAGUGUGUUUUCUCCCACAUCUUUAAAACUUUCCCUAAACAUCUGCUGCUAUCUCAGGAAUGAGGCCUUGCGAAGGGAAAACGGAUAGGAUAAGAGUCCAAAAAAAGGACGGCCCGAGUCUGUCUGAAAGCAUGGAAGUGUCUUGAUUACACACUCCCAGCUCUGUCACUGCUCUGAAGAGGAUUCUGGGACAUCUGCGGCACACAAGAAAGCGACUCUGGAGCUGAAAGUAGCUUCUGUUACAGAAGAAGCGUCCAGACUCGUGCUAUAAAUCUAUAAAUGUUUACAGCACGCGGUACGUUUUAAUUUACAGAUCAUUCUUCAAGUAUGUAAAACGUAAGACGCGGGUGUCUCUUUGACAUCCAUUUGUGAGCGUGACUGAAACCAGUAGCACCAUUUUCUAGCAAGCUAGCUAACAUUAGGCUAACGAUUAUUUUGAGUAAUUAAAAUAACUAGCCACAUUUUGUAGCAAGCCAGCUAACAUUCAAAUACGUGUAUAACUAGCAACAUGUAUACUAAGUAUCGCAAAGUGUAAUUAAACCCAGUUUAGCUUGCUAAUAUAUGUUUUAAUUAAUAACAGCAGCUAAGUUUACUAUCAGGCUAACCUUAGAUUAGCAACCGAGCUAACAUUAUGACUGCAUGACAAGCGAAAGGUACAAAGGUUUAGUACCCUUGGUUCGCACACAGAACUGUAAAAACAAUGCUGAAAGUCUGACUACAUUCAUCAUGUCGCUGCACGUAGCAACUCCAGCAGUUGCUCCUCAUAACGAUCCUCAUCCCCUGGUGGUGAUAGAACAUCAGUCCAGCAUGUCAUUCCUGUUAUUUUUAAAGAACGUAAUGCGAUAGCUAGUUCAGCUUUGACAGGAACUCAUGCGGUAGACGUCAAGGAAGCUCCCUCCCUCCCUGCCUCAGUGAGCAGAUGGAAAAGUGAAAGAGGGGAUAUGAAUAACCACGUGAGGUUCUGGUCAUCUCUGCGCUUAGGGGAUUUUUAGGGGGACAAAAGGGUAACAGAAUUAUUCAUGAAGCAUGACUAAGUAUUCUUUGAUUUAAGAGGGUGAGCAAUGACGAUGGCACGCUAGCUGUCGUCCUCGCUGCUCUCUCUUUCUCUCGUUCUCUCUUUCUACCACUGCCUUGUUUAUGCAACAAUCAUCCAGCACUUGAAAUAAUGAGUGGUGGGUGGAAUACGCUUCUUCGUUCAGACGAGAAAAUAAAACGGCGACAUGCAGGAAAAUCGACAAAUUAAAAUUGUUUUUUUUGUUGUUGUUGUUUAUUUUUAUGUUCUUUAGUAAGGGGCACGAUAGCUUAGUGCCUCGCACUUCCAGGGUUGGGGGUUCGAAUCCUGCCUCCGCCGUGUGCACGUUUUCCCCUUGAUUCGGGGGUUUCCUCUGGGUACUCCGGUUUCCUCCCCCAGUCCAAAGACAUGCGUUGUAGGUUUAUCGGCAUUCCAAUUGCAUUUUUGCUCUACGGCAUUUCUUUGCAAGCGUCUAAAACUUUUGCACAGUAUUGUAUAUAUAUAUAAAAAACACAAUAUUUGAGAUAUUCCAAAUCGAAUUUUUGUUAUUUACUUUAUUAAAUGAAAGUUCAUCACAAGUGUUAUGUUAUGUUAUGAACAAGUGUUAUGUUCAUCCUAAUUAGAUGCUCUCUACAUAAUAUGUCCCGCCCCUGGGGGCGUGUUUUCACACAUUAUUCUCUUUUUACAUUCAUCCAACCAUUUUUUUUUUUCUUCUGGAAGAACACGGGGUCUGUGCAAGCUGUUGGUAUUUUGGGAGGAGCGGUUUACCAGCUUGGGGCCGUUCAAUGCCGGAAUGUCGCCCAGUAAGAAUUCCAUCUCUAUACACCGUCACGUCAUCUCUGUCAGUAAGAGUCAGUGAUAUCGCUUUAUCCAUCACGACGGCACGUCAGACAUCUCCCAGCGUCAACCUCUCGGUCACCAUUGGCGCCAACGACGGCUGACCUCGGCUCAAACACGUUUGGCGUAACUUCAAAAACACACGCCGUCUCGUCUUCUAUACGGUCCUGAUUGAAGCGUUCAGGCGUGGGUGAAAGCGACGGUGAGAAAUCCUCUCACGGUUAUAAUGCUCUCGCUGACUUCUCUCUGUUCUCCGUAUUUAGCUAGUUCGCCAAGCUACCACGUCGAGUUUACAUUCGGUAGGGCGUAACUUGACCGCUAUUGUCCGUUACUCCGACUUCCUGUUUCAAAAAGGAACGCGUCGACAUCCAGAAUCAAAUCACAGCUCUCGAGAGACUUUCUUCCUCGCAGGGCGAACUUGCACAGGAUAUGAGCGAGAGAUGCUUUAUCAUUCUUCAGAAUUUGUUAUCGUUCCCCAGAGAUAAGACAAGCAUUCCGUUUGGUUUGAGAGGCCUGAGCGAGGACGCUAGACCAGGAUCAGAAAUGCAGAAUCAUUAUAGAGAUUAGAGUCGUGAUGACGCUGCUCUCCUGGGCCUAUGAAAGAUUUGUCCGUGACGAUGGUCAACAUUUCUACAAGAUCAGGUCAGAAGUUCUGAAAAGACAGCAGCGAUGAACGAGGACCGUAGUGAAGGAGUACUCCAGCAGCUUUCUCGUGAAUAUCUCUUCAUAUCUCCUCAUGAAUAUCUCUUCACUGUAUCUGUAGAGUAUGAGUCAUUCCCAAUGAAUGGAAGUCUAAGGGCAGAUGUCGAAUCCUGCCUAGAAACAUUCAGAGCAUGAAAUGAAUGCAUUCUUAGUAAAAAGGUGUUUGUAAAUGAAGCACUAAAAUCUAUCAUUCAGAAUGUUCUCAGAAAGAAGAAUGGAUUUAUUCCACUCUUAAAACAUAGAAAAACACGGCUCUGUAGCGAACGGCUGGGAAUAGCGUGAGUGAUGACUUGUUUUGCAGAUUGUUCCACAACAUUAAAAGGUAACUCUAAACGGAUAAUACUGCAUACGUGUUGUUCUUUAAUUAAUCCCAAUAAAAAACAAAAAACAAUUACAACCAUUGGCAAACCGCUGUUGUAGCGGAUGAUGUGUCGUCACGGGAAAUAAUUAACGUUCUUGUGAAGUGCCGUGAAACGUGCAGCGUUAUUCGACGUGUUGACGUAAUUUCCACUGAAACAGGAAGUCAGGGUGGGACAUAUCAAGUGGCCCCUCCCCCUUUUCAACUGGUUUCCGCCACCCUCGAUACAAGGAAUUUUACCCGGAUGCUUGUCGGCAGUAAUCACAUCCGUACACACCUCUGAUGAAGUGAAUACACUGAAGAUCAGUGGUCACCAACCCUCGUCCUGGAGGUCUACCUUCUCUCAGGUUUCAUCUCCAACCAAAAUCGAACACACCUGGUUUAGAUGAGCAAGAACUUCUUAAGGCAAUGAUUAGAUGGUCAGGGGUACGAUUAUGGUUGGAGCUAAAGCCUUCAGGAAGGUAGAUCUCCAGGAACAUUCAGGAGAAAGUUGGUGGAGUAUUCCUUUAACCCCGCAAAUCAUCUUAAAGCAUAUUAUUACCAAACUAAUAGGAGGUACAGUAUGCAGCUACGAAGGUGAGAUGUGCAAGUCUCAAUGAGGAAAAGCCUUGCCGGAUUUGAAGCCGUUCUGUGGCACGGGAUUCCGUUGCACCAGAUAUCCUAUUGCCUCCUCUGCUCCCGUUCCCAGUGCUGCAGUUUUGCUGCACUACCAUCCUGAUGAGACAGCUAAAGUGAUUCGAGUGCGACUGGACGUGCUGCCUUGUUCUCAGAUCCAAAUCUUGGGUUGUUUUUUUUUUUAGGGGUGGGGGGGUGGGGAAUCAGACUCUGGCGGCGACUCAAAAGGAGGAAUGAGAUGCAGCUUGCACUGUAUAGUCUGUCUGAGGAGCAGAAAUGAAUUAAAGACUGAAUGCGUGUCAGCACUGGAGGGGAAAGAGUGAUAUCAGACUAAAAAAAAAUGAAAAAUGAACGAGUGAGUGUACGAGAGAGAGAGAGAGAGGGGGGGGGGGGGAUGCUGCAUUACCUUAAAGCAGAACAAUCAGAUCUGUUCAUCUGCAAGCCGGAAGAAGGUGACGUGAAACUUUACACAGUGCGUGUUAUAUAUAUAUUUAUAUAAAAUAAGACGGAAAAACACUGUGGAGAAAAAAAGUCCCCGUACUGGACUACACGGCUGUGUUGACUGUCUUACUUUAUCCAUUUUCGUGUUCUGUUGAAUCAGCGUUACAGAUUUAGCAAGUUAAUAUGCUGAGGAGUAUGUUGAUCGAUCUAAAGCUAAUACUCGUGUAUGUACUGUGCACGCUGCAUUGUUUAGUGUUCAUGCUGUGGGCGGCCAUUUUGAUUUGCCGUCACUUGCUGAACUCUGGGUUGAGGAUUUCCCAAGUAGGAAUUCUAAAAUAUUCCCUAAUUCGAGUUACAACCUGUAGUCGAAUACACCUUAAAUCCAAUCAGUCACAAUGUAGCCACGCCCCCAAGAGCCCUUCACCCCAUCCUCCAUCUUUACUGCUGAGAAACACAAACAUGGCCGAACUCAAUGUUAAACGGCGUCGCCAGAUCGGCAUCGACAUCAGUAUCGCGCCGCGCCAUUUGUAUCCAUUUAAAGUCUCCGAGUUGUACGCUUCCUCAAGUUGCGGUCAAGAGAGUUGCCGAGAAACACCGAGAGGAUUGUAAACAUGUUUGCUUUGCAUAUUGGACCAGUGUGGUGUAUUACAUGCUUUUACGUUGCGUGUACAGGAAGAACUUUACGACUUCUGGUUGAUGCGUUGGUGUUUUUUUCUUUAAUAUACGUCUAUAAAAAUGGAUUACAAAACUUAAGACCAGCCAAUUGCACGUUUUUGUUUUUUUUAAUCAAGCCAUUCUCAUGUGUGUUCAUGAAACACUGCCGUACAGCGCAUCUGCAUAUUUCUCCUUACGCCGUGCCAGGAGUUUUAAAAUCCCCCUCGCUCACUCUCCAGCUACCGCGCCGGGACUCUGUGAGCCCAUUUUCCAUUUUCGUACACAGCGACGUUCACGCAAACUAAAAUAUCAGCCUGGCUAAAUAUAAAAGCGCUCCAGAUGGACAGAGUACAAUGGGACGUGACAACGGAUCGUGGACAGAUUUGACUCUCGGCUAACGUUCAGAAAUAGAAAGAAACGCUAAUUCAACAUGUUGCUAACGUUACGCUAACCUCGGAGAGAGACCUGUGGAAAAGAGACGACUGGUAACGACUCCAACCUGUGGAAAAGGGUCAUAGGGUCACGAAGGCCAUGUUAGUAAAAACGCUCACGUUAGUAAAGCAGAACGUUUCAUUUUAGCAGCAAGAAAACUGGUUUGUUGGAAAAGUGGAGCGCUAAGUUCGCCACCCACUGAUAAAUGUUACUAUGGCAACCAGUAGUAGGAUUGUCCUACUUCAUUAUCAUAGGACAAUCUGUCGGGGAUCCGUUUCAAUCAAUAUGGUUGAAAUGAAAUCUGUAAGAGUUGGUCUUGGACAGUGGGACAUGGAGCAGUGUGUAGAUGAGGCGUGAACACUGGGAGGGUAUUGAAUGUGAGAGUUGAGCUGCAGGGAGAAAAACAAGCCGGCUGAGUCGAGUGAGGUAAGGUGGCGAGUGACGCUGCAAUUCUCCGGCUACACACACACACACACACACACACACACACACACACACACACACACACACAAACAAUGACCUCGCAGAAAGUUCAGGCUCGGCCCGACUCUGCUUGCUGCAGGAGAUCGAUAAUGCCUUGAAGUGCCAAAAGCUGAGGCUGCCCUCCACACACACACACACACACACACACACACACACACACACACACAGUUUAUCAGCAUCUCAUCAGCAACUGAUUUCUAUUGUACAUUCUAGAAAAAGGUUUAUUGUAGUUCAAAUAAAUAAAAAAGCUAAAAAAAAACAAAAAAAUAAUUAAAAUUAUCCUUUAUAUUAUGUAUAUACACACACAGUGCUGACAACUAAUAUUGGCUCCCUUGGUAACUAUGAGCAAAGAAAGCUGUGAUAAAUUGUCUUUGUUUAACCUUUUGAUCUUUUGUUCCAAAAAAAAUUCACAGAAAUAC
This is a long non-coding RNA of Ictalurus punctatus (channel catfish), 6168 nucleotides long. Lineage: Eukaryota; Metazoa; Chordata; Actinopteri; Siluriformes; Ictaluridae. The record is from Ensembl.